This 490-nucleotide ribosomal RNA is filed under the name uncultured bacterium. RNAcentral describes it as "partial 16S ribosomal RNA". It matches the Rfam family "Bacterial small subunit ribosomal RNA", at positions 30 to 507 of the family's 1533-position model. The record is from RNAcentral.
AUUGAACGCUGGCGGCAGGCCUAACACAUGCAAGUCGAACGGUAACAGGAAACAGCUUGCUGUUUCGCCGACGAGUGGCGGACGGGUGAGUAAUGUCUGGGAAACUGCCUGAUGGAGGGGGAUAACUACUGGAAACGGUAGCUAAUACCGCAUAACGUCGCAAGACCAAAGAGGGGGACCUUCGGGCCUCUUGCCAUCGGAUGUGCCCAGAUGGGAUUAGCUAGUAGGUGGGGUAACGGCUCACCUAGGCGACGAUCCCUAGCUGGUCUGAGAGGAUGACCAGCCACACUGGAACUGAGACACGGUCCAGACUCCUACGGGAGGCAGCAGUGGGGAAUAUUGCACAAUGGGCGCAAGCCUGAUGCAGCCAUGCCGCGUGUAUGAAGAAGGCCUUCGGGUUGUAAAGUACUUUCAGCGGGGAGGAAGGGAGUAAAGUUAAUACCUUUACUCAUUGACGUUACCCGCAGAAGAAGCACCGGCUAACUCCGUG